Molecule: ribosomal RNA, 465 nt
Filed under: uncultured bacterium
Lineage: Bacteria
Description: partial 16S ribosomal RNA
Rfam family: Bacterial small subunit ribosomal RNA
Source: RNAcentral
GACGAACGCUGGCGGCGUGCUUAACACAUGCAAGUCGAACGGAAAGGCCCUGCUUGCAGGGUACUCGCGUGGCGAACGGGUGUGUAACACGCGGGUGAUCUCCCCUCCACUUCUGGAUAAGCCUUGGAAACUGUGUCUAAUACCGGAGAGAGGACAUCCUUAUUGUGAUGGGUGGAAAGUUUUUUUGGUGUGGGAUGAGUUCGCGGCCUAUCAGCUUGUUGGUGGGGUGAUGGCCUACCAACGCGGCGACGGGUAGCCGGCCGGGGGGGGUGGACGGCCACAAUGGGGCUGGGAAACGGGCCAGGAGCCUAAGGGGGGGAGGAGGGGGGGAAAAUGGACAAAGGGCGGGAGCCUGAUGCAGCGAAGCCGCGGGGGGGGUGACGGGCUUCGGGUUGUAAACCCCUUUCGCUAGGGAAGAAGCUGUUUGUGACGGUAACGGGUUAAGAAGCACCGGCUAACUACGUG